RNAcentral lists this ribosomal RNA (466 nucleotides) under uncultured bacterium. RNAcentral's name for it is "bacterial SSU rRNA". It matches the Rfam family "Bacterial small subunit ribosomal RNA", at positions 29 to 493 of the family's 1533-position model. The record is from RNAcentral.
AUGAACGCUGGCGGCGUGCUUAACACAUGCAAGUCGAACGAAGCACCAUGGACAGAAUUUUUCGGAAGGACGACUAUGGCGACUUAGUGGCGGACGGGUGAGUAACGCGUGGGUAACCUGCCCUGUACUGGGGGACAACAGUUGGAAACGACUGCUAAUACCGCAUAAGCGCACAGCAUCGCAUGAUGCAGUGUGAAAAACUCCGGUGGUACAGGAUGGACCCGCGUCUGAUUAGCUAGUUGGUGAGGUAACGGCUUACCAAGGCAACGAUCAGUAGCCGACUUGAGAGAGUGAUCGGCCACAUUGGGACUGAGACACGGCCCAAACUCCUACGGGAGGCAGCAGUGGGGAAUAUUGCACAAUGGGGGAAACCCUGAUGCAGCGACGCCGCGUGAAGGAAGAAGUAUUUCGGUAUGUAAACUUCUAUCAGCAAGGAAGAAAAUGACGGUACUUGACUAAGAAGCCC